RNAcentral lists this ribosomal RNA (439 nucleotides) under uncultured bacterium. Its description in RNAcentral is "partial 16S ribosomal RNA". It matches the Rfam family "Bacterial small subunit ribosomal RNA", at positions 339 to 795 of the family's 1533-position model. The record is from RNAcentral.
CUACGGGGGGCUGCAGUGAGGAAUAUUGCACAAUGGAGGAAACUCUGAUGCAGCAACGCCGCGUGGAGGAUGACGCAUUUCGGUGUGUAAACUCCUUUUAUAUGUCAAGAAAAUGACGGUAGCAUAUGAAUAAGCACCGGCUAACUCCGUGCCAGCAGCCGCGGUAAUACGGAGGGUGCAAGCGUUACUCGGAAUCACUGGGCGUAAAGGACGCGUAGGCGGGAUAUCAAGUCAGGUGUGAAAUCCUACAGCUUAACUGUAGAACUGCACUUGAAACUGGUAAUCUAGAGUAUGGGAGGGGGAGAUGGAAUUAGUGGUGUAGGGGUAAAAUCCGUAGAUAUCACUAGGAAUACCUAAAGCGAAGGCGAUCUCCUGGAACAUAACUGACGCUAAGGCGUGAAAGCGUGGGGAGCAAACAGGAUUAGAUACCCUUGUAGUC